GCGUGCAUAAGGCAUGCAAGUCGAAUGCUACCUUCGGGAAAGCAUGGCAAACGGGCUAGUAACACGUGGGAAUCUACCCCAAAGUUAGGGAUAACCCGGAGAAAUCCGGGAUAAUACCUAAUGCGCUCUUCGGAGUAAAGAUUUAUCGCUUUGGGAGGAGCCCGCGCACUAUCAGCUUGUUGGUGGGGUAAUGGCCCACCAAGGCUAUGACGGUUAGGGGGUGUGAGAGCAUGGCCCCCAGCAUUGGCACUGAGACACUGGCCAAACACCUACGGGUGGCUGCAGUCGAGAAUCUUUCACAAUGGGCGAAAGCCUGAUGAAGCGACGCUGCGUGCAGGAUGAAGGCCUUCGGGUUGUAAACUGCUUUUAUAGGGGAUGAAUCUUUGAUGACAGUACCCUAAGAAUAAGAGGUUGCUAACUCUGUGCCAGCAGCAGCGGUAAUACAGAGACCUCGAGCGUUAUCCGGAUUUACUGGGCGUAAAGCGUCUGUAGGGGGUUUGUCAAGUUCCAAGUAAAAUCUUAAGGCUCAACUUUAAGUUCGCUUGGAAAACUGACAAACUGGAGCAUAGCAGAGGCGCAUGGAACUUGUGGUGUAGGAGUGAAAUCCGUUGAUAUCACCAAGGAACACCAAAGGCGAAGGCCUUGCGCUGGGCUAUCGCUGACCCUGAGAGACGAAAGCGUGGGGAGCAAAACGGAUUAGAUACCCGUGUAGUCCACGCCGUAAACUAUGAAUGCUAAACAUUCGGGGAUUCGACCCCUUGAGUGUUACCAGCCAACGCGUAAAGGCAUUCGCCUGGGAAGUACGUGCCGCAAGGCUAAAACUCAAAGGAAUAGACGGGGAUUCCGGACAAGCGGUGGAGCGUCUGGUUUAAUUCGAUAAUAAGCGUGGAACCUCACCAGGGUUUGACAUCCCACGGACAGCCUUAGAAAUAAAGGUUUCCUUCGGGCGUGGUGACAGGUGCUGCAUGGUCGUCGUCAGUUCGUGCCGUGAGGUGUUCCGUUAAGUC
Molecule: ribosomal RNA, 1007 nt
Filed under: uncultured organism
Description: bacterial SSU rRNA
Rfam family: Bacterial small subunit ribosomal RNA
Source: RNAcentral